Neoarius graeffei (lesser salmon catfish) is the source of this 1100-nucleotide long non-coding RNA. RefSeq lists it as uncharacterized. The transcript is spliced from 3 exons. Lineage: Eukaryota; Metazoa; Chordata; Actinopteri; Siluriformes; Ariidae. The record is from RefSeq and is a predicted model, not a curated record.
AGAGCACUGACUGCUAAGCCAUUUAGGUUACAAUGGGUGAGAGCUCUCCCUCCAAUUAAUUUGGCUAGGUGUUCCCUUUUGCUGUGAGGCUGAUCAGUAUGACAAGUGUCAAGUUGGGACGAUUGCUGAGACCCGGUCACUGUUUGUCCCUCGACAGGGACCGGCUCCAGUUUCCCUGACCGGUUGGCCUCUUUAGACAGCCGACCGCCCAGUGACCUUCACCACAGUGGAAGCAAUGAGGACAGUCAGGACGAUUUUGCUCCACACACUUGUCACAGCCAUAUGGUUUCUCUCUCCUGCGGUCUCCUCUGCCUUUCCCAUUGUGGCUUAACUGUCCGGCAGCCUGUGUUUGCAUUGACUGUCUCAUGAGCUCAACCACGCCUGUAAGCUGUUCAAGUUUUUUUGUUAACUGCUGGAUCACAUCUGUUUUUGGCUUUUUCUCCUCCUUUACACUGGGAGACUGUACCGCUCUGACUUCAGACUGAGCACUGUGAACAUUUGUGAGUCUUUGGCAAGUGGCAAGACCUAGCCUUCGCUGCCUUUCACUUUCAUCGCACAUGCUUCUCUUCAUCUGUUUCAGAAUAACCUCAUCUGACACUCUGGUGUCCACGAGCAAUGGCUUUAGCUCUCUGCGGACAUCUUCAUGCUUGUGACCUAAGCCCUGGUACACUGUGUGGAGAAACACAUCCUGCACUGUGCUUGCACUAUACUUGACAUCUGUGUCAGCAUGUUUGGAGGCCAGCAUGAUCUUCUGUUUGAGUCCUAUGACUCUGUACAGGAACUGUUGGGGUGUCUCAUUGUCUUUUUGUUUGGUGCACAUGAGCUCCUGGAACAGCUCGGUGUUACUCUGCUCACCCAGGUUUGAUGACUCGUAGGACAGCUCUUACCACCUCUGCAUCACUGAACUGCUCCUUUAAGCCCUCUUCCAUCUGCCGACAGACACUGUUGUAGCUGAGGUCCGACCCUUGGUCCCCUAUCUGACCCCCCUGAAUCUUCAGUUCCCUGCGGUGAAGGUAGGACAAGUCUCUUAAGGAGAACAACUUGUCAUGUGUGGGUGGUGCAGCGUUUUCAAUUCUGGUGCCUGCUACAUUGCUGCUCUG